This 926-nucleotide ribosomal RNA is filed under the name uncultured bacterium. RNAcentral's name for it is "bacterial SSU rRNA". It matches the Rfam family "Bacterial small subunit ribosomal RNA", at positions 8 to 927 of the family's 1533-position model. The record is from RNAcentral.
AGAGUUUGAUCAUGGCUCAGAACGAACGUUGGCGGCGUGGAUUAGGCAUGCAAGUCGUGGGACGACUGGGGGCAACUCCAGUUGACCGGCGUAAGGGGUAGUUAUGCAUGGGUAACCAUCCCUCCAGAUGGGGAUAACAUCGAGAAAUCGAUGCUAAUACCCAGCGCCGUUGCGAUGGGGCAUCUUGUUGCAACGAAAGGUGUGAUUCCGCUGGAGGACGGGCUCAUGUGGUAUUAGCUAGUUGGUAGGGUAACGGCCUACCAAGGCUACGAUGCCUAGGGGGUGUUAGCGUACGACCCCCACCACUGGGACUGAGACACUGCCCAGACACCUACGGGUGGCUGCAGUCGAGAAUCUUCGGCAAUGAGCGCAAGCUUGACCGAGCGACGCCGCGUGGAGGAUGAAGGCCUUCGGGUUGUAAACUCCUGUCAGGGGGGAGGAAAGCUAGGCGGGCUCUUCCGUUUAGUUGACCUAGCCUCAGAGGAAGGACGGGCUAAAUUCGUGCCAGCAGCCGCGGUAAUACGAAUCGUCCAAACGUUGUUCGGAUUCACUGGGUUUAAAGGGCGCGUAGGCGGUGCGUUAAGUCGGCGGUGAAAUACUUCGGCUCAACCGGAGAAUUGCCGCUGAAACUAGCGUGCUCGAGGGAGGUAGAGGUGCGUGGAACUUCCGGUGGAGCGGUGGAAUGCGUUGAUAUUGGAAGGAACACCUGUGGCGAAAGCGAUGCACUGGGACCUCUUCUGACGCUGAGGCGCGAAAGCCAGGGGAGCGAACGGGAUUAGAUACCCCGGUAGUCCUGGCCAUAAACGAUGGGGACUAGAGAGUAGAUGCUCCGAUGUGUUUACUCUCGAAGCAAAAGUGCUAAGUCCCCCACCUGGGGAGUAUGGUCGCAAGACUGAAACUCAAAGGAAUUGACGGGGGCUCACACA